CCUCCUUCUAUGCGUCAUGCCUACUUGACUCUUCCUGAAUGUAAUUUUUCAUUUGAUUCUUCUCUUUUCUAAACACUAUGUAUAAAGGACCCCGUAAUGAUUUUGAUAAACAUAUAUUAGAUGAUAAGGACACCGUCCAAAUAACGUCUAUAUAAUUUUUAUUUUUUUUUAUUUUUAAGGGUCCCUGACUCAUUCUUGAUUUUGAACCCUUCCAUAGUUAAAAUCAGAAUGCUCUAUAUUGGACCCUUCCAAAUACUCUAUAUUGGACUCUUCCAUGUAUGUAUAAUUAAUA
Molecule: long non-coding RNA, 292 nt
Filed under: Mytilus galloprovincialis (Mediterranean mussel)
Lineage: Eukaryota; Metazoa; Mollusca; Bivalvia; Mytilida; Mytilidae
Source: RNAcentral